This 557-nucleotide ribosomal RNA is filed under the name uncultured bacterium. RNAcentral describes it as "bacterial SSU rRNA". It matches the Rfam family "Bacterial small subunit ribosomal RNA", at positions 43 to 582 of the family's 1533-position model. The record is from RNAcentral.
CGGGUGCUCAACAUGCAGUCGAACGCGAAAGGUUCCUUCGGGGACGAGUAGAGUGGCGCACGGGUGAGUAACACGUAGUAAUUUACCUUUGGGUGGGGAAUAACAGUCGGAAACGGCUGCUAAUACCGCAUAAUGCAGCGGCACCUAAUGGUGACAGUUGUUAAAGCGGGGGAUCGAAAGACCUCGCGUCUAAAGAGGAGCCUGCGGCGGAUUAGCUAGUUGGUAAGGUAAUGGCUUACCAAGGCUACGAUCCGUAACCGGCCUGAGAGGGCGGUCGGUCACACUGACACUGACAUACGGGUCAGACUCCUACGGGAGGCAGCAGUCGGGGAUUUUGGGCAAUGGGCGAAAGCCUGACCCAGCAACGCCGCGUGAAGGAUGAAAUCCCUCGGGAUGUAAACUUCGCAAGAAUGAGAAGAAUAAGUAGGGGACAAUACCCCCUAUGAUGACGGUAUCAUUUGUAAGCUCCGGCUAACUCCGUGCCAGCAGCCGCGGUAAUACGGGGGGAGCAAGCGUUGUUCGGAUUUACUGGGCGUAAAGGGCGCGUAGGCGGCCAG